This 607-nucleotide ribosomal RNA is filed under the name uncultured bacterium. RNAcentral describes it as "bacterial SSU rRNA". It matches the Rfam family "Bacterial small subunit ribosomal RNA", at positions 331 to 929 of the family's 1533-position model. The record is from RNAcentral.
CCAGACUCCUACGGGAGGCAGCAGUAGGGAAUCUUCCGCAAUGGACGCAAGUCUGACGGAGCAACGCCGCGUGAGUGAAGAAGGUUUUCGGAUCGUAAAACUCUGUUGUUGGAGAAGAACAAGUGCUAGAGUAACUGUUAGCGCCUUGACGGUAUCUAACCAGAAAGCCACGGCUAACUACGUGCCAGCAGCCGCGGUAAUACGUAGGUGGCAAGCGUUGUCCGGAUUUAUUGGGCGUAAAGCGAGCGCAGGCGGUUCCUUAAGUCUGAUGUGAAAGCCCCCGGCUCAACCGGGGAGGGCCAUUGGAAACUGGGGAACUUGAGUGCAGAAGAGGAGAGUGGAAUUCCAUGUGUAGCGGUGAAAUGCGUAGAUAUAUGGAGGAACACCAGUGGCGAAGGCGACUCUCUGGUCUGUAACUGACGCUGAGGCUCGAAAGCGUGGGUAGCAAACAGGAUUAGAUACCCUGGUAGUCCACGCCGUAAACGAUGAGUGCUAAGUGUUGGAGGGUUUCCGCCCUUCAGUGCUGCAGCUAACGCAUUAAGCACUCCGCCUGGGGAGUACGACCGCAAGGUUGAAACUCAAAGGAAUUGACGGGGGCCCGCACAAG